This 406-nucleotide ribosomal RNA is filed under the name uncultured bacterium. RNAcentral's name for it is "partial 16S ribosomal RNA". It matches the Rfam family "Bacterial small subunit ribosomal RNA", at positions 30 to 526 of the family's 1533-position model. The record is from RNAcentral.
AUUGAACGCUGGCGGCAGGCCUAACACAUGCAAGUCGAACGAGUGGCGGACGGGUGAGUAAUGUCUGGGAAACUGCCUGAUGGAGGGGGAUAACUACUGGAAACGGUAGCUAAUACCGCAUACCAUCGGAUGUGCCCAGAUGGGAUUAGCUAGUAGGUGGGGUAACGGCUCACCUAGGCGACGCUCCCUAGCUGGUCUGAGAGGAUGACCAGCAACACUGAAACUGAGCCACGGUCCAGACGCAUACGGUAGGCAGCAGUGGGGAAUAUUACACAAUGGGCGCAGGCCUGAUGCAGCCAUGACGCGUGUAUGAAGAAGGCCGUCGGUUUGUAAAGUACUUUCAGCGGGGAGGCGUUACCCGCAGAAGAAGCACCGGCUAGCCCUGUGCCAGCAGCCGCGGUAAUUG